AUUGAACGCUGGCGGCAGGCCUAACACAUGCAAGUCGAAUGGUAACAGGAAAAAGCUUGCUGUUUCGCUGACGAGUGGCGGACGGGUGAGUAAUGUCUGGGAAACUGCCUGAUGGAGGGGGAUAACUACUGGAAACGGUAGCUAAUACCGCAUAACGUCGCAAGACCAAAGAGGGGGACCUUCGGGCCUCUUGCCAUCAGAUGUGCCCAGAUGGGAUUAGCUAGUAGGUGGGGUAACGGCUCACCUAGGCGACGAUCCCUAGCUGGUCUGAGAGGAUGACCAGCCACACUGGAACUGAGACACGGUCCAGACUCCUACGGGAGGCAGCAGUGGGGAAUAUUGCACAAUGGGCGCAAGCCUGAUGCAGCCAUGCCGCGUGUAUGAAGAAGGCCUUCGGGUUGUAAAGUACUUUCAGCGGGGAGGAAGGGAGUAAAGUUAAUACCUUUGCUCAUUGACGUUACCCGCAGAAGAAGCACCGGCUAACUCCGUG
This 490-nucleotide ribosomal RNA is filed under the name uncultured bacterium. Its description in RNAcentral is "partial 16S ribosomal RNA". It matches the Rfam family "Bacterial small subunit ribosomal RNA", at positions 30 to 507 of the family's 1533-position model. The record is from RNAcentral.